This 495-nucleotide ribosomal RNA is filed under the name Paradiplozoon sp. PDT-JMU. RNAcentral's name for it is "partial large subunit ribosomal RNA". The record is from RNAcentral. Lineage: Eukaryota; Metazoa; Platyhelminthes; Monogenea; Mazocraeidea; Diplozoidae.
ACUGGUGUAGUCAAACUGCAAGCCUUCAGAAGUUCGUUGGUCAGAAUGACGUAAGUCUGAGCGUUGAGCCGUUGUCUGGGUCUAUCGUAAUGAUGGGUUCCCUUUCUCGGAAGGGGAAUGUGUGGUGCGAAUUUCGUUGCUGCAUACCUGGGCACCGGUUGCUCUGCUGACCCGCUUAUUUUUCUGUUGGCGUUUGUCACGACCGCUGUUGCUGCCAGUCUACACCACCUAAACCGUUACGUGAUUAGUUUUUUACUUUUUGCGUUUCGGGGGCAGGUUUCCCGGUCCGUUUGUAAAAACGGCUGGAUGUUAAAGCCGGGUGGUGUGGUGCUUGUAAACUGUGCAGUACAGUGGUACAGCGGCAGGUUGUGUUGCGCGCUGGGUGCGCUAAAGUCGUUUCUGCGUUGUUGUGGCAUGACCGAUUGUUGCUGUCUCUGAUAGCCUGUCGGUUGCUAUGAUGUGCGGAUUUCGCGGCUGCGUCCGGCAAACCAUUAU